CAUUUCUCCCCCUAAUUCUCUUUGCAGUAUCCUGUUAGGAAAUCUGGAUUAAUAUUUAGCAUGUGCAUUGCUUGCCCAGCUGGUGUCCUUGCAGCAAAAUGCUUUUACCAAACCUCUUACAUUAAACUUAGGCUUUUCAUCAUGGAGAUGUUUCUUAGUCAUGGCAAAGAGCUUAGGAGUGGGCUGUGGGAUCAUGCGCUGGUUCUUCACAGCCUCUCAAAGCUAAUUCUUCAUGUGUCCCUUAACUGUAAAUAUGGUAGAGAAGCAUUAGUGAUAGGCAGUGCUAUUUUUCUAGGAAAAGAGGUGCUGAAACUCACCGUAAGUGCCUUCCUUGUUCUCUUAAAAUGGCAAUGGUGCCCACCUGAGAGGUGCCAGAACGGUGUUCCAGUGAGUUCCAGCUGAAAAAAGCCCUGGUGAUAGAUAAGACUAACCUGAUUCCCACCAUAACCAGCUCUUGAAGACAGCUAAGUGGGGAACUUAGAAGAGCCAGAGUGGUGUAGUGGUUAAGAGCGGUGGACUUGUAAUCUGGUGAACCGGGUUCGCUUCCCCGCUCCUCCACAUGCAGCUGCUGGGUGACCUUGGACUAGUCACACUUCUCUGAAGUCUCUCAGCCCCACUCACCUCACAGAGUGUUUGUUGUGGGGGAGGAAGGGAAAGGAGAGUGUUAGCCACUUUGAGACUCCUUAGGGUAGUGAUAAAGCGGGAUAUCAAAUCCAAACUCUUCUUAACCAUUGUUGACAUCAAUGGUUGAGGCAGAAGGGAAGAAUUCAGUCUGGGGGAAUGUGUGUUCUGUGACCAGUAGCAAACCACUUUACCAUGGUUAACAUAUUGCCCCGGUUACAUCAGCACUGGCUCCUAGUAAGAAAACUGGCAGUGUGUCAUGACCCAGAAUCCCGACACUUGUGUUUGUCUGCAAUGCUGUUGCAAUAGCUCUGCAGAACCAAGUUCACAAUGACACAGCAUCUCCUCUUGUUACUUCCUUAAAUUUUGUUGCUGCUCUUUGAACACUUGCAUUAUGUUUGGGGGAUUUCUUGAAAGAUGCCUCAUCAUCUUUGGAUCUGCUGCUUCAGAAGUAUUUCCAUGCAAAAAUAUAUCCCCCCCCCCCCCGGGAUGGCAGCAGUUGUCCUUGAGCCAGCUGCCCAAUAGAACCUUAAGGAGCAUGUGCCUUGAUACCUGGUUUAAAACAGAGGCGGCCAAUGUGAUGUGGCUUGACUACAACUCCCAGUGCCCCUGACUAUUGGCCAUACUGGCUGGAACUGAUUGGAGAUGUAGCCUAGCAAUAUUUGGAAGGCAGGUCUAAAGGCUUUCUGCUUGCACUUUCCCAGUUAAGGAUGAGCUGGUUUCCUUCCAUCACCAUUGCUUCAGGAGAAGUUACGGAUGGCCACUUAACUUGUUCAUGAGUGUUUCAAGGUACAGUGUCCUUAAUUACCCUGUCCAACAAUUGUGACCUACCUGCCACAGUAAAACUGUUCUUUGGUGAUUUGCAGUUCACAUAGCUAUGCCCUCCAUAGUGGUUUUUAUACUACAUAAACUUUCCUUUUGUGGGACUUGGUGCUGUUGCAUCCCAUGGCAGUUCAGAGUCGUCUCAAAAUAAUUUGCCUUGCCAAUCUGCCAUCUUGGGCAACACAAGAGGCAAAAGCUACGGAGAAAUUCUCCCCAAGUCCCAUUAGGAUGAAUAGGAGCUGCAUAAAUAGAUGUUUAUCCUCACUCGCUGUGCAAUAGGAACUGUGACUUAUGCACCCCAAUGGCUUUGUAGAUAGUGAGGGGGUGCCACCUGCCCUUAGCUUGGAUGCAUGAGUGAGGUGCAUUAAGGCAUUACUGCAUGCAAGCUCAAAUAAGGUGCGUGACAAGUAUUGAGGCACAGGGUGCCUUUAAAAAACAGCUUCCCUCCCACUCAUAGUGUAGCCCUCUUCAAGCUGGGCUGCAUUUUUUAAUGGGACUUGCAACUCACCUUGCUUCCUCCCUUUCUGCUAGAUCCCUUCCACUCCUAUUCUUAUCUUGGGAAAUGGAGAAGUAGUUGGCAGCAGAGGACUUGAGAAUGGAUUAGGAGUGCCUCUGCAGGGACUCUCCUUGGCAGCACAUGACACACGACAAUUAUUGCUCCGCAAAGGAUAACCCACCUUUCAGGCUUUCAAAAGUGGCUUGCUGUUGAAAUAAUACGUAAAAGGCAGCAUUAAGAAGAACAAACAGAACAACAUAAUGAACUCCAAAGGGCAACAAAACAGCAUAUUAACCUGCAGCAGGACUCUUUUCAAAGCCUGUUCAUAGCAUAAAGCAGAAUUGAAAUUAUUAUUUUGGUCAGUGGUGCUACAGCCAAUUCUCAGUUGACUUCCUGUACUUGGGUGUGCAUCCCUUAGCUGUCUCUUAGCUGCUGUCAAGUCUGAACAGUAGCUGCGUGCAUUUUUUUAUGUGCUCCCCUUUUAUUUUAACAGUGGGAUCACUUAUAUUUGAAUUAUUUCUAAAGAGGAGCAUAGACACAGAUAUCCACACCAUUCAUGCUUGAUGGAAUGUAUGCAUAUGUCAUAAUAGCUAGACAUAUGAAUGGGCAAAAAGUCAAGAGAAGUGGCCCCUCCUUUUUUUUAAAGACAAAAAAAUAUAUAUUUCUAAUGCUGUUUGCUGAGGUUGCACAUUAAGCCACUCCAAAUGAUGACUAAGCAUUUGCUCACACUACUGCAAUGUCAGCAGCAGAACAGGAUUCCAUUCACUCCUCAGCUCAGUCCAUCCAUUUGUGCAUGUGUCUUAUUGCUAUUAAAAGCAUGAUGGAACUCCUCCACCAGCUCUCAUGUGA
This is a long non-coding RNA of Podarcis raffonei (Aeolian wall lizard), 2788 nucleotides long. RefSeq lists it as uncharacterized. NCBI's taxonomy places the organism in Eukaryota, Metazoa, Chordata, Lepidosauria, Squamata, Lacertidae. The record is from RefSeq and is a predicted model, not a curated record. The transcript has 2 exons.